GCGAUUCGCCCUUGCGCAGGCGCGAAAACUUUACAAUGCGGGAAACCGUGAUAAGGGAACUCCGAGUGCCCGUAAAAUCGGGCUGUCCAUCUGUUUAAAUAACAGGUGAAGAAAGGGCCGGGCAAGACCGGUGCCAGCCGCCGCGGUAAUACCGGCGGCUCGAGUGGUGGCCACUAUUACUGGGCUUAAAGCGUUCGUAGCUGGUCUGUUAAGUCUCUGGGGAAAUCUACUGGCUUAACCAAUAGGCGUUUCAGGGAUACUGGCAGACUAGGGACCGGGAGAGGUGAGGGGUACUCCAGGGGUAGGAGUGAAAUCCUGUAAUCCUUGGGGGACCACCUGUGGCGAAGGCGCCUCACCAGAACGGCUCCGACAGCGAGGGACGAAAGCUGGGGGAGCAAACCGGAUUAGAUACCCGGGUAGUCCCAGCCGUAAACGAUGCGCGUUAGGUGUAUCGGUGACCACGAGUCACCGAGGUGCCGAAGAGAAAUCGUGAAACGUGCCGCCUGGGAAGUACGGUCGCAAGGCUGAAACUUAAAGGAAUUGGCGGGGGAGCAC
Molecule: ribosomal RNA, 555 nt
Filed under: uncultured archaeon
Lineage: Archaea
Description: bacterial SSU rRNA
Rfam family: Archaeal small subunit ribosomal RNA
Source: RNAcentral